Pristionchus pacificus is the source of this 63-nucleotide non-coding RNA. The record is from Rfam. NCBI's taxonomy places the organism in Eukaryota, Metazoa, Nematoda, Chromadorea, Rhabditida, Neodiplogasteridae.
UCUUCAUUUCACACACACUCUCUCACCGGCCAGAAAGGCGAGAGAGUGUGUGAAAUGAAGAGA